Molecule: ribosomal RNA, 879 nt
Filed under: Triticum aestivum (bread wheat)
Lineage: Eukaryota; Viridiplantae; Streptophyta; Magnoliopsida; Poales; Poaceae
Description: partial small subunit ribosomal RNA
Source: RNAcentral
AUGCUGCGAUCCCUCGCCGCCGCCGCGCGCUCGCCGGCGGCCGCCGCGUGGCGGCGCCUCCUCCACCAUGGCAGAGACAUCGGCGGUGGGGAGGAGGUGGAGAGCAUGGCGUACCGCAUGUCGAUGCUGCGGGCUCCCCCUGUCGCGCGGAAGAAGGAUAUUGUUAGCUCCAACUUGUGCAGCCUCAUCGGCCGCCUCAACGCGCCGGUGCGCCUGCACCGAAACAGCUCCGAGGAGGACCCGAAGGCUUACACCUUCCUCUGCGUUACGCCCGCUUCCUCGUCCUCGUCGACCUGUGCCAACUUCCAAGUGACACUGCAGCUGAAGGGCGAUCUGGCAAAUGUGUGCCUGAAGCAUUUGAAGUACAAUGACCUUGUACAUGUAUCUGGUUUUCUGAAUUCUUAUCAUAAAGUCAGUGGAACUGGUGAAAAGUAUGUGUGCUAUAAGAUCCACGUCAAGGAACUGAAUUGCGUUCAUGAUCCCAAGAAGCCUAGGAAUGAUAAAGGCUCGGUAGAUCCAGCAUCAACACCAUCUGCGGAUACUCAAACACUUGAAGAAAUCAAGUACAGAGAAAGGCUUCAUCUGUGGCAAGUCUUCUUUGCCAGCCCUUACGAGUGGUGGGAUAACCGGCAACAAAAACCAUACGCCAGUUGCCCUGAUUUUAAGCACAAGGACACCCGUGAGCAGCUAUGGCUUCAUCCAGAUGACCCACCUUGGGUAAGAAAGCAGCUCGAAUUGAUUGACCAGCAAACGGCAGAGAGUGGUCGCAGGGAUGGCAGAGGGCGCUUGACAAACCCAAGAUGGAACGCUCAAGACUUCAACUACUCUGACGAAUGUGACGAUGAUGAGCAGGACACGCAAAGGCAGGCGAAUGGAUGA